Molecule: ribosomal RNA, 374 nt
Filed under: uncultured organism
Description: partial 16S ribosomal RNA
Rfam family: Bacterial small subunit ribosomal RNA
Source: RNAcentral
GUAGGUGGCAAGCGUUGUCCGGAAUUAUUGGGCGUAAAGCGCGCGCAGGCGGUCCUUUAAGUCUGAUGUGAAAGCCCACGGCUCAACCGUGGAGGGUCAUUGGAAACUGGGGGACUUGAGUGCAGAAGAGGAGAGUGGAAUUCCACGUGUAGCGGUGAAAUGCGUAGAGAUGUGGAGGAACACCAGUGGCGAAGGCGACUCUCUGGUCUGUAACUGACGCUGAGGCGCGAAAGCGUGGGGGGAGCGAACAGGAUUAGAUACCCUGGUAGUCCACGCCGUAAACGAUGAGUGCUAAGUGUUAGAGGGUUUCCCGCCCUUUAGUGCUGCAGCUAACGCAUUAAGCACUCCGCCUGGGGAGUACGGUCGCAAGACUG